GAGGUGGGAGGAUCGCUUGAGCCUGGGAGGUUGAGGCUGCAGUGAGCUGUGAUCAUACCACUGCACUCCAGCCUGGGCAACAGAGCAAGACCCUGACUCA
Pan paniscus (pygmy chimpanzee) is the source of this 100-nucleotide microRNA precursor. NCBI's taxonomy places the organism in Eukaryota, Metazoa, Chordata, Mammalia, Primates, Hominidae. The record is from Ensembl.